RNAcentral lists this long non-coding RNA (859 nucleotides) under Panax ginseng (ginseng). RNAcentral's name for it is "long non-coding RNA (PGIN_LNC007172)". The record is from RNAcentral. Lineage: Eukaryota; Viridiplantae; Streptophyta; Magnoliopsida; Apiales; Araliaceae.
UUGAUAUGCGAAAGAGAAGUCAGAUAUGAGAUCCAAACCCUGAAUUGGGAUUGUGAUCAAGAGAUGAGAAUAAUAAUAUUAUAUUAUUGUUAUAAUGAUUUUACAGUACAAUAAUUAUGUACUGUGUAUGUGCGGACAGAUAAUAUUGAGCAAUGACGGUCAAUUAGGUCAUAGCACAGUACUGUGCUGUGAAACCCUAAUUAUUAAACUCAGUUAUGAGAAAUGACUGAGUAGUGACUGUGUAUAUGAAGUUUACUGUGUAUAAGAAUGUCGGUAAUUAGAAGGAAACCCUAAUUACUGUUGUACGUUGAUAAUUAGGACAAACCCUAAUUAUUAUAACCCUAAUCGGUUGAAGUUAGAGACUGUAACGACUGUGUUAGAACACACAUAGAUAAUUAGAGAACCCUAAUGGUCAAUUAGAAACCCUAAUUAAUGGCGUUAAGAAACCCUAAUUUAAGAACCCUAAUUUUUCAAUCAAAAACCCUAAUUUAAAAUUAUUGGGUUUAAUUAUGAUGUUAAUGUAUAAAUAUUUUAAUUUACCAAAGGAUGCAAAGUAAUUGGUAAAUGAUAAGAAUUACCAUCUAGUGAUUAAAUACUACAUUUAAUUGCUAUGUACAAAAAUGCCCAUGAAAUUUUAUGUGAAAUUACCAAAAUACCCUUUUAGUGUAUUAUUAGUUAUAUUAUUUAUGGAAUUUUAAAAUCUAAAGUGAUAAACCCUAAGGGUUGUGGCCAAUGUCUAAAAUGCCCUUCAUGGUAGACAUGAGAAGUCUAAACUACCCUUGUGCAUUAUUAAAGGAAGAAACCAAUUAUUAGAGUGGAAAUGACUAUUUUACCCUUUUUGGCUUAUUAGUGUAUUAUU